Molecule: long non-coding RNA, 931 nt
Organism: Sinocyclocheilus rhinocerous
Lineage: Eukaryota; Metazoa; Chordata; Actinopteri; Cypriniformes; Cyprinidae
Exons: 3
Source: RefSeq, a predicted model, not a curated record
UUAUGCCAGUAUAAUCAUAUAAUCAGGCGCUGCCAUAUUUUGCUGUGAUGCUGUCACGGCUCUAGCACUUGAUUUUAUUCUUAUUUUCUUGUAGAAGUAGGCUUUGAGAACAACCACAAUCAUUCCUGCUCCAAAAACACGGACGACUGCUGAUGGAAGAGUGAGAUGCUUGAGAGCAGACGGAUGCAGUGAGCAGCAGGUGGCAGCAGACGCUGGUCAAACUGCUGUGGAGAGCAUGAAGAACCGCAUCAGCUGCAGCACAAUAUAAAGAUCUCAACCACUCAGCCGGGGUAAAUAAGAGCCCUACAGCCCCCUUAAUCACGAGAUGUACAGUUCCUCAGUCGGCCAGACCUGAACUUUAACUGAACUUCUGAGAAAUCCAGCAGCUCGUGGCAUUCUGGGAAAUGAAGUGUUCGUCAGCAUGUCAAUAUAAACCCUCUGUCUGUCUCGAAGCCCAAGAAAGGAAAACAAACUUUCGUUAAAUGUUCAAACAAGGCUAUCAUUUUUGACAUGCUUCUUUUUACAAAAGAAAAUCGCUUAUUAAUGUUACUUAUAAGAUAUAAAUUAUUCUACUUGGUUUGAAUUUCAGUUCUAGUUCCUCAGUUCAAGUUCAGGACUUCAGGACUAGUCAUUAAAAGUUAGUCAUCUAAUUUCUUUUUUCUUCAAGACUGGUCAUAAUUUAAAGUCAGUUACAAAACAACUGGUUAUCCCUUGGCAAACUGCUAGCUGGUCAGUCGAUCUUAACAGAGGGGCUAUGUUUAUGCAACUGCCCUCUGAACUAGAAUUUGAGAAACAUUGUGAAUUAAAUUCGGAGUGUAUAGACCUCAUGCACCAGAGAAACACAUGCGCAGCCAUCUUUACAGUUCACUCGCACCCUAAAGAGAGCAGCCCGGAAAAUGGAGCGCAGUUGGAGGAAAACAAAACUAGAGGU